AGGAAAAGGCAGACUAAUAGCAACAACACGUCAUACUAUAGGCCCAGCCAGCACACCCGGAUCUGUAUCCGCCCCCUUCGCUGCUAUUGCUCUGCACGGGGUCGGCUCUAUGGCACUUCUGUCACUGCCCGACUAAAGACUCUCUCGGCAGUGAAAGGGUCACGGGCGGCUUCAUCCCACUUACAACUCAGUAAACACUGGCACGUGCCCCGCUAAGGCAUCACGUGACGCCGGGUACGGCAUGUGACCCUCAGCCCAAACAUGUGACACCAGGAGAGGGAACAGCUACAUUGCACAGGCAUUGAGGUGGCGCAUGUGUGACAGGAAAGUGUCUGUGAUACUCACGCAGCUGCAGAUCCUCAAUAUCGUCUCUGGCCGCCUGAGAAAGUUUUCUAGGUUAAAGCUGCUCCCCGCUUUCGGUGCCCCGUACGCCCCGUUCUCCAUUCUGCUUCCUUGUCCCGCAACAAACUUCCGUGUGACAAAA
Xenopus laevis (African clawed frog) is the source of this 484-nucleotide long non-coding RNA. RefSeq lists it as uncharacterized. The transcript is spliced from 2 exons. The record is from RefSeq and is a predicted model, not a curated record. NCBI's taxonomy places the organism in Eukaryota, Metazoa, Chordata, Amphibia, Anura, Pipidae.